AUUGAACGCUGGCGGCAUGCCUUACACAUGCAAGUCGAACGGUAACAGGUCUUCGGAUGCUGACGAGUGGCGAACGGGUGAGUAAUACAUCGGAACGUGCCCGAUCGUGGGGGAUAACGAGGCGAAAGCUUUGCUAAUACCGCAUACGAUCUACGGAUGAAAGCGGGGGAUCUUCGGACCUCGCGCGGACGGAGCGGCCGAUGGCAGAUUAGGUAGUUGGUGGGAUAAAAGCUUACCAAGCCGACGAUCUGUAGCUGGUCUGAGAGGAUGAUCAGCCACACUGGGACUGAGACACGGCCCAGACUCCUACGGGAGGCAGCAGUGGGGAAUUUUGGACAAUGGGCGAAAGCCUGAUCCAGCCAUGCCGCGUGCAGGAUGAAGGCCUUUGGGUUGUAAACUGCUUUUGUUCGGAACGAAAAGCCUCUUUCUAAUAAAGGGGGGUCAUGACGGUACCGUAAGAAUAAGCACCGGCUAACUACGUG
Molecule: ribosomal RNA, 482 nt
Filed under: uncultured bacterium
Lineage: Bacteria
Description: partial 16S ribosomal RNA
Rfam family: Bacterial small subunit ribosomal RNA
Source: RNAcentral